RNAcentral lists this ribosomal RNA (233 nucleotides) under uncultured bacterium. Its description in RNAcentral is "partial 16S ribosomal RNA". It matches the Rfam family "Bacterial small subunit ribosomal RNA", at positions 794 to 1032 of the family's 1533-position model. The record is from RNAcentral.
UCCACGCCGUAAACGAUGAUAACUCGUUGUUGGCGAUACACAGUCAGCGACCAAGCGAAAGCGAUAAGUUAUCCACCUGGGGAGUACGAUCGCAAGGUUGAAACUCAAAGGAAUUGACGGGGGCCCGCACAAGCGGUGGAGCAUGUGGUUUAAUUCGAUGAUACGCGAGGAACCUUACCUGGGCUUAAAUGCAGAGUGACAGAUCCUGAAAGGGAUUUUUCUUCGGACAGUCU